Molecule: ribosomal RNA, 387 nt
Filed under: uncultured bacterium
Lineage: Bacteria
Description: bacterial SSU rRNA
Rfam family: Bacterial small subunit ribosomal RNA
Source: RNAcentral
AUUGAACGCUGGCGGCAUGCCUUACACAUGCAAGUCGAACGGUAGCACGGGAGCAAUCCUGGUGGCGAGUGGCGAACGGGUGAGUAAUAUAUCGGAACGUGCCCGGUCGUGGGGGAUAACGUAGCGAAAGCUACGCUAAUACCGCAUACGAUCUACGGAUGAAAGCGGGGGAUCGCAAGACCUCGCGCGAUUGGAGCGGCCGAUAUCAGAUUAGGUAGUUGGUGAGGUAAAGGCUCACCAAGCCGACGAUCUGUAGCUGGUCUGAGAGGACGACCAGCCACACUGGGACUGAGACACGGCCCAGACUCCUACGGGAGGCAGCAGUGGGGGAAUUUUGGACAAUGGGCGCAAGCCUGAUCCAGCAAUGCCGCGUGCAGGAUGAAGGCC